UAGCCGGUUUGGAGGGUCCUUUGUGAAGUUGUUAGGCUUAACCUAGCAGCGCGCGAGGGAAACCGCCAGACUUGGGACCGGGAGACGAUAAGAGUAUGCCUUGGGGAGCGGUAAAAUGUUUUAAUCCUUGGUAGACUUCCGAUAGCGAAGGCACUUAUCGAGAACGGGUCCGUCGGUCAGGGACGAAGGCUGGGAGCAAAAUGGAUUAUAUACCCAUGUAGUCCCAGCAGUAAACGCUGCCCAUUAUGUGUCACGUAUCCCACGUGGGUACGUGGGGCCGUAUAGAAGUCGUUAAAUGGGCCACCUGGGUAGUACGGUCGCAAGACUGAAACUUUAAGGAAUUGGCGGGGGAGC
This 354-nucleotide ribosomal RNA is filed under the name uncultured euryarchaeote. Its description in RNAcentral is "bacterial SSU rRNA". It matches the Rfam family "Archaeal small subunit ribosomal RNA", at positions 522 to 877 of the family's 1478-position model. Lineage: Archaea; Methanobacteriati; Methanobacteriota. The record is from RNAcentral.